AAAACAUUGUCUCAUGAAUAAAAUAUGAGAUAGUACCUGCCCAGUGACGUAUGUUCAACGGCCGCGGUAUCCUAACCGUGCAAAGGUAGCAUAAUCACUUGCCUAUUAAUUGUAGGCUAGAAUGAAGGGGUUAACGAAAUAAAAACUGUCUCAAUUAAUUAACUAAAAAUUAUUUUCUAUCUGAAGAAAGGUAGAUACACUCGAAGGACAAGAAGACCCUAUAGAGCUUAAUUUUAACUAUAGAACCACUCUAUAUAAAUAUUCGGUUGGGGCGACCCAGGGCUAAACAAUCACCCACUCUAUAAAAGAUAUAUUAAUCAAAUAAGUGACCCUUGAAGAUCACAAAAACAAGCUACCUUAGGGAUAACAGGCUAAUCCCACUUAAGAGUCCUUAUCAACAGUGGGGAUUGGCACCUCGAUGUUGGCUUAGGGUAUCUAUAUAGCGCAAAAGUUAUAUAAAGAUGGUUUGUUCAACCAAUGACACCCUACGUG
Molecule: ribosomal RNA, 492 nt
Filed under: Megascolecidae sp. SC201728-01
Lineage: Eukaryota; Metazoa; Annelida; Clitellata; Crassiclitellata; Megascolecidae
Description: partial large subunit ribosomal RNA
Rfam family: Bacterial large subunit ribosomal RNA
Source: RNAcentral